ACGGGGUGCAGCAGGCGCGAAAACUUUGCAAUAAGCGAAAGCUUGACAGGGCUAUCCCGAGUGCCAUCCGCUGAGGAAGGCUUUUACCCAGUCUAGUAAGCUGGGGGAAUAAGGAGAGGGCAAGUCUGGUGUCAGCCGCCGCGGUAAUACCAGCUCUCCGAGUGGUGUGGAUGUUUAUUGGGCCUAAAGCAUCCGUAGCUGGCUGAGUUAGUCCCCUGUUAAAUCCACCGAAUUAAUCGUUGGAUCGCGGGGGAUACUGCUUGGCUAGGGGACGAGAGAGGCAGACGGUAUUUUCGGGGUAGGGGUGAAAUCCUAUAAUCCCGGGAAGACCACCAGUGGCGAAGGCUGUCUGCUAGAACGCGCCCGACGGUGAGGGAUGAAAGCUGGGGGAGCGAACCGGAUUAGAUACCCGGGUAGUCCCAGCUGUAAACGAUGCAGACUAGGUGUUUGAGCGGCCACGUGCCGUUCUAGUGCCGCAGGGAAGCUGUUAAGUCUGCCGCCUGGGGAGUACGAUCGCAAGAUUGAAACUUAAAGGAAUUGGCGGGGGAGCAC
This 552-nucleotide ribosomal RNA is filed under the name uncultured archaeon. Its description in RNAcentral is "bacterial SSU rRNA". It matches the Rfam family "Archaeal small subunit ribosomal RNA", at positions 325 to 879 of the family's 1478-position model. The record is from RNAcentral.